Long non-coding RNA from Gordionus sp. m RMFG-2023, 432 nucleotides. RefSeq lists it as uncharacterized. The transcript has 3 exons. Lineage: Eukaryota; Metazoa; Nematomorpha; Gordioida; Chordodea; Parachordodidae. The record is from RefSeq and is a predicted model, not a curated record.
UUAAUACUGGAAAUAUAGGUAAUAGGAUAGAUGAUAUUGCAUGAAUAGUCGGAAUGUAGGUAAUAUAUUAUACACAGACUGGAAUCCCAUAUCUGGGAGUGAAAAUGACAGUAAAAGAAUAAAUACACUGUAAAUUUCUUACAAUUGCCUGUGAGUUACAUAAAUAGAUUACCCUGCAAUUUUGUAUACUUGGUCGCGAAUUCGCGUUAACCGUAAAUGUAGGGGUUAAACUUUUGAUUUAAGCAAAACAGAUACUUCUAUUUCCCAAGUUCAAAUUAUAUUCCGAAAGGGGUAUAACUUAAACCUGAGUGACGGCUUCUGGUAUGAGAGCGAAUUGGUAAUUAGAAAAGUUGUAACAAUGGUAUUCCACAUUAUCAUCGUGACUUAACAAACACAUCACAACAUUUUCUUUCAAGUUACGGAUUGCUGCGG